AAAUAUUCUGUGCGUAAUACUUGGCAUGCCUCAAAGCUCUGGAUUAACCCGGAUCUUCCUCAAGCUAUUGAUUUUAAGUCCAGAAUGGCAAGUGUGAAUGAAGCUAACUCUGCCAGGAUCAGUCAAAUACCUUCUCAGCGUAGUUAUUCUGUUUCUGACGAGUUGGCUACUGGAACUGUAGAAGUUAAAACUAUUAGCUAAUUGGUCGACUGCAUGGAGGAAGGACAUAUUUGGAUUGUUGCGACUGUAGUGAAUCUUCUACUUGAAAAAGAAUGGUCAUAUUUGGGGUGCAAGAGAUGCUCGAAGAAGGUUGACAAAAUUGGAAGUAAAUUUCACUGCAAGAAAUGUGAUCGCCUUGAU
Molecule: long non-coding RNA, 360 nt
Organism: Nicotiana attenuata
Lineage: Eukaryota; Viridiplantae; Streptophyta; Magnoliopsida; Solanales; Solanaceae
Exons: 3
Source: RefSeq, a predicted model, not a curated record